Molecule: long non-coding RNA, 9864 nt
Organism: Corvus hawaiiensis (hawaiian crow)
Lineage: Eukaryota; Metazoa; Chordata; Aves; Passeriformes; Corvidae
Exons: 2
Source: RefSeq, a predicted model, not a curated record
UGUGUUUACAGUUGCCAAUAUUUGUUUAUGUGAAACAUUAUAUCUUUAUAUAAUUCUUCAUAUCCCUCCCAUUUAAUUUAAGUUAUGAAGGUUGUAGAGAGGGGUUACAAGCCAGACUAUUGAUUUUGCCAGCUUACACCAUCUGGAGUUUUUUCUUCCUUAGUCUUAAGUACCAGGAAACAGGGUCAGGAAAUCCAGAACUCUGACCAUAAAGAAUGUGUUUUUCAAAAAAAGUCACGCUAGUUUUAGCAAAGUACAGAGUUGAAUUUUUCAGCAGUGCUGACCAUUUGGGACUCCACUCAGAAUCAGUGGAAACAAUCAGUGUGUAUAGCUGCACACUGGGAAAGAAAUCAAUAAACCUGCAGUUUACAUUUCUGAGACCGAGCAGUACUGAUCAAACCAGCUUCCUUGACACCCUUGCACCUCAGUGCAUAGAACUGUGACAGGAACAAUGGAAGGUGAAGCUAGAUCUUGCUUUGAAGACAGGGUAGCUUUAUUUAACUGAGUAUUUUUUAAUGGGCCUAAGGGGUUAAGCAACUUUCAUAAAGGGUCUUGAAAGUAUGAUGAGGGGCUGAACCCUGGGCUCAAAUUUGCCAGUGUUGCUCCAUGCAUUUUUGUACUCUUUUGUAUUCUUUUUGGACCUCUGUAAUUCCAGAAGCCUCUUUGAUAUUAAAGUUUGCACAAACUCCUCUAAAGAGUGAAAACAAUUAGCAAAGACUGGCAAAGAGUGAUCUAAACAAGUCUGUCUGCCUCUCCAGGGUCAGCCUCAAUGACAAGCUCAGCAUCAUUUUGAAACCACACACCAUAUCAAACCACAAAUCCUAGCAUUCCUAAAUGGUUCACAAUGCAGCUGUGUGUGCAAAGACAAGGAGGUCCAUAAGGCCAUAUUUAAAAGGCAUUUGAAUACCUAACUAUUAUUGUCUUAAGCCAAGGUUCGUGAAAUAGAUUUGGACCUCUGCUUAUGGUGUUCUUUUUUCUAGUUAGUAAUUUGUUUGCAAACAGAAAAGUUCUUAGAGAAGCAAUCUAAAUUAAAGUUCUUUCUUUACACAGAUAAAAAUGCCUGCCUGUAAUCUGCCCAGCUGUAGAUGAAUGAACUAAUGAUAGGCUCUGCUUUAAGAUAAGGAAUUGCAGCUCUUCAUCUACCUGCUUAUUUGGACUGGCUUCCAGAGUUCAGAAAAAAAAGUAUCAAAUAAGAUUUCAAACAAGAAAAGAGAUUUCAUGGCCCAGCUUCUUCUCUAGUGGAUUUGGAGAGCUAGGCUUCUGAGAGUCUAUCCGCCAAAGCAACACAAUGCAUGAAAAGAUAAUCACUAGGGAUGCUGAGGAAAGAAACAAGGAUUAAGUGUUUAAAAAAAGCACAGCAAUCAGUGUCUGGGUGGAUGUGUUUUCUUGAGCUUACCAUGAAGUCCAGUUAACCUUGUUAACCACUCAGUGGAAGGAUGCCAACAUCUAUGACACCAAAACAGGUGAUUCCUGAAGGUUCUGCAUACUCUGAAGCUCCUUCUGGCCCGGUGCUUUUUAGGGUUCACUCAGCAUCCUGACCUGGGGUUUGGUCCCUUGCCAAGCUGACUGGCAGUUGUGAAAGCAAACAAAACAUAGAUUGGUUGCAAUGUCCUAUCAGUAUGUUGUAUUUUGAGAAGGGUAAAGGUGUACUAAUAUUUCUACCCCUAAAUUAAUAUGAGUAACUCUAAAACAAAUUAUUCCAGUUGGAAUGCAGACCAGGUGCAUGAUAUUUUCAAUUUUCCUGUUAAAUAGAAGUGAAUGUCUGCAAAAGGGAGAAAUAGUCUCUCUGGGGUUUUUUUAGGAGUGGGAGGGCAGCUACAUGUUGCAACAUGGACAUUUUUUUCAGCUGAAGCCUUCCUUAUUUGGGAUUUUAAAAUGUAUUUUCCUCCUACUUUCCACACAGCAGGACACGUGUAUUGUUUCCUGGAAUUGGAAUGAUCACCCAUUGUUAUCCAGAUAGCUUUAGCCAAGCAUUACUUUCAAGCAGCAAUAUCCCAUGAGAAUUUAAUCUCCAGAAAAAGAGAACCUAUAUUAGAAUGCAGUUCCUCAGAGUUCACAAAUUGCUAUUAGAAUAGCAACGUUCCACGUGCUUGCUGAGACAUGGUAAGUAAACCAGAAGGAAAGACAAGUCACUCUAUGAGCAGCAGAACUAGUGAAGCCUGAUUUCCUCCAAAGCCAUGCACUCUGUCGCCCAACACCACUCCCUACAACAAGCCAGUUUCCCUUCCAGUAUCCCAGGAGAUGUGCAUCUCAGUAACUUGAGAACUUCCUGUGCUUGCAGUGUUUCCAGUUCACCACUUGCCUCUAUAUUCUCUUCUCUUUUCCCACCCUCUGUGUUUCUGAGGUGAGGGGAGAGAUCCUGGCUCAGUUAGGAACAGUCUAAUGAGCCAGGCAGUGCCACGUGCCCAGGGGACAGCCAAAGCACAUGGGAUGCCACACCAUGCCAAAGGGAAUGGUGUGUAGGAGUUCCCUCAGCAAGAAUACUGGGUUUUGUUUUCUUUCUCUGUAGAUACAUAACAUAAUUAAUUGGGUAAUUAAGUGUCUUUGCGAUGUCUGGUUUUGUCACACAGGCUGAAAUGGAUCAACAGAUUGAAAAGUGAGGAGGAGAGACUGAAAAAACUUUCUUCCUUAGACACAUAUGCUGGUAGUGUACCUGCCAUUUAGCACUGAAAGAUAUAGCAUUAGCUAUUUGAGACAUCUGGAUGGCACAUAAUGAUUAUAGUAUGGAAACUCAAAUAAAUAAAUAAACAAACAAUUAGUUAUCUACUGCAGCUGGGUAAUUCAGUGGGUAUGAAGUUUAGCAUAAAAAACAACUGGCUGCCCUCUCAUGUUGUUGAGCUGGAGGGUUCAUCUAUAAAUUAGUAAAUGGACUCAGUGUCCGCUCUUCUUUCCUUAGUCUUAGUUAUAUGAUGUAUAUAGAACAAAAGUUGAGCUCUACAGAGUCUCUUUUUGAAGUUUGUGCUCUGUUUAAUAGAGUAACCAAAUCUAUCUGACUUCCCAGAAGACUUAUUAUUUAGAAUUGGAUAAAUGUAUUUAGGGUUUGGAAAGUUUUAUUUGUUUUCUUCACCCAGCCAUGCUAACUGUGUUCUAACAAAUAAACACAGGUAUAUGAAGUAAUUUUUUUUAAAAAAAUUCUAAUACAUUGUGUUUAUGGGAGUUGAGAUGUCAUAAUCACGUUGCAUAUGUUAUUAACAUGAGACCAUCUAGAGGAAAGAGUGCUUUAACCCUUAUAUGAAUACAAAGCGAGCUUCUUCUUUUAUGAAUUUAUUUCCUUCCAUUAUAUAUAAAUUUUCUUUCGCUAUGGAUCCUCACAUAAGGCAAUGGUUUAUUUUAAGUCCUUUCUACUAUUUCUUGCUAGGAUUUAAAACUUGAGUCAUUAUAUUUUAUAUAAUCCACAUCACUGUAAGUGCUGUAACUUGAUUACUCCCCAGAGGUCUCUUCAUGUUGAUCACAUUGGGAUAGCUUCCUUCAUGUGGCUAGGGCAAUUAUAUUAAAGUCUGAAGAACCAAGACUGUAUUCUUUGAAAAGUGGCUGGAUCUGAAAUAUAAGCUAUUCCAUACUGUAGUAAAUGCCAUGUAAUGGAAACAUAAAAAUAACUAACUUGAAAGAUUCAAAAUUAUAUAUGUUUUUUUGCAGCUCACAGAGUAACUUUUAAUAACUGCUGGUACAGCUGUUACAAAUAAAAUAUGCUUUCUGAUUCAGUUGCUUACUUUUUUUGGAUGACAAAGUUACUUAAUAGACAGUCCUUUGCUUUCAAAGAAAUUAAAAAUUCUGGAGAAUUAAAUACGUAUUUAUCUAUUUAUUGCAAACAGAACUAAGCAUCUGUCUAUUUCAGCUAAGAUACUUAGUUCACUCUCUGAAUGCCUACAGCAAAGUUUACUUCUUUGUGCAGGUGAAGAAUUUUGAUUGUUUUUUUUCCUAAUCCUCAAUUCCUCUGUUUUAUUCUCUUUUCUCUUGUACCAAAUACAAAAGGUCCAUUUGUCUUUAACAAUUGAUUGAACCAAGAGUUGUGUAUUGUAUAUGUCCAUUGUGCCUUUUUAGUAGCCUGUAGUAGUUUGUAGUUUUAGUAGCCUCUAGCUGUUGCUUCUACUCAUUAUUUCUCACGAAUUUUUAGUAGCCUUUAGUUAUUGUUCCUACUCAUUAUUACCUUGCCUUACCUGCUCUGCCUGUGUCACAGAAUGCUCUUCAGAGCUGGAUAGACUUUAUCAAACAUGAUAUCACUCCUUUAUAAAGCCUCCUGCUAGGUCUUGUCAUUUGUGCAUGAGGGAUUGCAGAUUGCUCAUCAAUCUGAGAUUCCAAGCUGACUGCUUGUGCCAAAGUGUCUCCUGCCUCUCUUCCCCUGUCCUGGGAGGACUCAGCCUUAGCAAUCUAUUAAAAAGUGCAAGGCUAAGGCAGAUAAGCCGCAAGACAAAGUGGAAAUGAAAAGGGGCUCCUGAGGUCCAGAGACAGAUGCAGUGUAGAAAGUGUGAAAGUGUAAUUCAAGACAACAACCUUGUGCUGCUCCUCAGUUUUUUAUAGGACCUGGAGCAUGCCAAUACAUCCUCAUACAGUAUCUCUGCUUUUCCCUGACCUCUGAGCAUAGAAAAGGGUUGCUAGCCUGUGAAAAUGGCUGUGCCCUACAACUGUAGAGCUUAGCUGUGUUUUGAUGGGUUUGGCUUUAUUGGUUAUUGAACAACAGAAUGUAAAUCUUGGGCUAUGCUUUCUCCCCAGGGUUCUCUAUUCCCAUGACUGCACGUGACUAUUCCCUGUCUGCAACGUCUUCUACUGCUAAGACCAUGGUCUCUCCCUCACUUUUCAAACGCAGAUAAAUUAACCACAGGAUCACUGAACCCAAAGAGACCUCAUGUCUUUCCUGGUAUACAGCUGAAUGGACCUGAUGACUACAUCAGCCAUUUUACUGGAGCAGUUUUCAGGUGUUUUCUAAAUCUUCAUCUGCCCUGUGCUGUUCAUUGUAAGCAACAACAAUUUAAUAUGUAGAGAGCCAAAUGACAGGCCUUUUUGAAUACUCCUAGGCAGUAUAUGCUGUAUAUGCUCCUCUUCCUGAGGAGUUUGGGCAUGCAGCCAGUUUAUUUAAAGGCAUCUAAGUUUUCUCUGUUGAACAGCCUGAGAUGAUAAAUGCUAAAGUGGUAAACUGCUAACAUGUAUAGGUCUGGGACCAAGUGUCUCCAAACACAUGGUAAAGUCAGCAUUGUGCCUCUGCCAACUGCUCUCUUUUUCUUACCAUGUGCUGGCAAGGAGUCUGUGGCUCUUUCAGUAUAUCCUGUCUCUUGAUCAAAACCAAAAGCUUGUUAUAGCCUGUACAUUGUGCAGAAGCCUUCCCAACCAUUCCAUAAAUCCUUUACAUUUUUCCACAUGCAGAUGGUUUACAUUUUCCAUUCUCUCCUAUAUCUGCAUUGAAUAAAGUUUUUUAUCUUACAGUGACUUCAACUGAAAAAUAAGCACCCAUCCAUUAUACCAUUAUACCAUGUUUCUUCAUUUGAGAAAGAGUCUGAGGAGUACUCUUAUAAGUUUAUUACCUUUGCCUUGGAAAGCUUAGGACUUUAUAAACCUCUUUGACAUGAAGUACUCAUUGGGGGCUCUAUAGGAGUUAAGAAUCAAUAAUUUAUGUGGGGUUCCUUCUGCACUUCCUAGUCAAAAACCUCAGAGGUGGAGGGUAUUUUUUCUUGAUUUUUCUGGGCUCAGAAGAAAUUGUAAUAUUGAUGUGGUUCAGAAAAAGAUGAUUAAGUACUCUUCCCCUUUGCUUCUCCAAGAGUGCUUUCUUUGUUUUUAUACUAUAACAAGACAAGUGCCUUCUUCAGUCAGUGCUGCCAAGAAGCGGGUGUAGCCCCCAUGCAGGUCAUUAAUUCAUUAAUUCAACAGAGUCUAAACACAAAGUUUAGAAGGCAAAGUCAUAUCACUUGCAGUAAUUUGGUGUUAUCCCAGUAUUCAUGAUAAGAAACAGUUUUGUUAUGUUAACCCAGGGUUUGGUCUGGCUUGUCAGCCCUUGAAGGUCUGGAUUUUAACUGGGAAGAGUACUGUGCUAGACUGUCACUCAGAAAAUGAUACUGCACAGGCAUUGACAGUAUUUACAUGGCAUUUAGAGAAGCAAAUAAUUCAUUAAAUAUGAAUGGAAAUGAGACAAUUAUCACUUCUUCAUUGUUUCCUUUUUUCCACUCUCUGUAUUUCCUCUUCAGGGGGAUGGGAAACGUUCAUAUUCUUUUCCUUUGCUCUCACAGACCAUAACACUGGCUCAGCACAGGAGGGGGUGAACAGCUGCAUGAAGGCAGGAAAAAAUAAUCAAGACUGAAGGAGGACAGGAAAUUUUAAAACCAGUGCUGCCACUAGAGACGUGUAAGAUGACAUUGCACCUUCCACAGAGCUGAACAUUUGCUAACAUACCAGAACUCUCACAGAGAUGUUCUGCAUGUGUGUAUAUAUCACAUGCCCAGAAAGCACAGAGUUGGCUGCAGCAAUAAAUCCAAUUGGUGAAAAGUUCCAGCAUUUCUACAUAUUUUUCUUUUCACUUUAGUUGAAGGGUCUUUGCUGAACUCCAAAUGCUUCACUUCAAAUUUAGAGCCUUGUAGAUAUUUUUGUGUCUUUUUUUAAUAGUAUAUUUAUUUUAUCAUUAUAUAUCUGUUAAGAAAGUUUUUUGAAAGAAGUACUGUAGAUAUUUUAGUAGUAAGUAUGUUAAACUUUAUUCAGUAAAUUAAUUACAGAGUUAGGAAGUUACAGUCAUUAUUUAAUUGUUCACUGUUUCAUAAAUGAUAUUAAAAAUUAUAAUAUGACUGUCAAAUUAAAAUGUGAACAAUUUAAAACACAUUUCAAAAUUAAACAACUUUGAAAUUAUACAGUCUGGUACUUCUGAAUGUUUUGCUUCACAUUAACUCAAAGUAUCACUUUAGUAUUUCUCACCAAAAUUAGUGUUUCCUGUUUGUUGCUCAAGAUACACACAUAUUCUACAUCUGCUAUGUGCCAAGAUUUGUGUGGGUGGGUGUGCUAGCUAACAACUGUACCUAUGAACUUCUGUCUGCAGUGGGCAAGAGUAGAGCUAGGGAUGCAGCCUUGAGCAUGCCAUCUCAGUUGUGAGAGGCUUUUGAAGAGUAAGUAAAGAAACAAUAGAAUAAAAAAAAGUCAGAGGAGAAGAAACAGCUGUGAUACCAGGAUGCAAGCCCCCAGUAUUAUUUUGCUACUUACAGUCUCUGUUGCUGUUUAUUUGGUGCUUACCUGUUUUGCUGGACCUCAGCAAGCUGUGCACUUGCGCAGUUUUUCUUCAUUUCACCAGAUGGUUCCAGUGAAUUUCAUGGUCAAGAUCUGAUUCCCAAGGCUGUUAGAGGGGCUGGUCCUUUCUGUCUGGUAAGAUGCUUACUUAGCUCUAUCCAUUUUCUGAUUCUGCAGUUAAUUUGUUGCGGUAAUCCAUUUUACACAGAACAGGUUAGAUACUUUUGGAAGCAACCACAAAAACUUCCUAGGCUUACUAGAGAGAGGCAUGUUUACAUGAAGCAUUCAGUGUAAAAGUUGUAACAUUAGACCUCUACUAAUUUCUCUUUUGGUUUUGAGUCAACAAUAUUUCUACAAACAUUAAAACAUGUAACGCAAAUAAGGCAUCAGUCAUUCAGAAUUUCCUCUCUUUUUUUCCACCCCUCCUGUUGGAACUCUGUUGUUCCAGUUCUCUGACUAUUUGGACCAUUCCUGGAAUUCUUGUUUUUAAUUUAAAAGUUCCAGAAAUGUUGUUGUGCAGCUUGUCUGCAUCUUUUUUUUGCAAUUGAAAAUGAAAUCACUUUGCUGACAGAAUUUACAAUAUAGAAUAAGAGAAUCUCUAACUGUCCUAACCAGCUGUGCAUGUUCACAUUCAUGAAUCUAAAAGUGUGUGCAAAAGUUGUGGCAUGUUGUGAAGGUAUCCUGAGCUCUCUUUCAGUAUCAGACAGCAGAAAAGUAAUAAUGUGCAUAUACUUAGAGCAGCGUGAUGCCAGACUUUUAAAAAGGGGUUAUCAGAAAUUUAUGCUCUUUUAAUUGGCAAUAUAUAUGACGUUCCUCAAUUAGAGAUGUAUGGACACCUUCCUUUUACCUGUAACAUUCAUACUUUGACGUGCCUUCAUCCCAAACUUCUUUCCAGUUCCAAAUCUGUCACUCAGUUCCCACCACAUGACCUCUUUCCCCUUCUGCUAAUUUCAGGAAAGCUGCUUUUUUUGGCACAACAGGCAUGGCAAGGGCAAGUGUUGGUGUGGCAAACCACUACACCAGCCAUGACAGGUACCCUCAGAUUCUGCAUGUGAGGCAUUUGUGCUUGGCAGGUUAGAUGGUAGAUGAGGCAAUAGUCUCAUUUUGGUGUCUGUGACCCGUUUUCUUCACCUGCUGGUGAGUAUCAUUAUUUCACAACUUCUGGAUAGAUAUAUGGAUGAUAAAAACUGUGAGGUCCUCUACAGCCCUGGAUAUAUAACUCUAACAGGAGCUCAGGCAAGGAAAACUGAUGGCUGCAGAAGUGGGAGAUGUCUCCCCUAGGAGAACUUUUACCUUGGCCCUAUCUUCCCUGUGCAGUGGUUCAUUGUCUCACUGAGCUGUGAGCUGCUGGGGUAGUGGGGAACCUUCCUGAAUUGACCCUCUCUGAUGGUAUUAAGGCAUACAGCAGAGCAACAGAGAUAUCAAUAACAGUAAACACAGUUAGGCAAAAGUUAGCUUGUUUGCAGUUUUAGGAGGACAGUCAUGAUGUUAAAAUGCAGUUACCAUUCCCCAUGGUGAAGUCUUCAGCUCUUGCCUGCUAUGAUCACAUCACAUCGUUUUAGGGUUGACACAAUGAAUUUGGGAUGAGUACUGAGAUAAUUCUUGGGAUACACUCCAAAAUUCAUUAUUUCUGCUACAUACCCACAGCAAGGAAUCAUUAAGAUAUUUGAAGCAAUCUCUGACUGCCAUUUUACAAUACAAUAAAAUAUGUUUAUGCAACUGAAGUAUCUAUUAUGUGAGAGAAGGAAAAGAAUGAUUAAGUAGUAUAACAAAAGUGGCAUACUACCAGAGAUUUGGCUCACUUGCACUUUUCAUAAAUACAACUGUGUUAACUAAACUUUGAAAAUAUUUUCAGUUUGAGACAUAAAAAAAUGUAUAUAUGCAGUAGUUCUGGUUUUGAGAUGGAGUCCUGAAUAGCUGUAUUUGGUUCAAUAACUUUGUUUGGGAUAUUCCCCCUAAUAUUCUUUUGAAAAACUACUUCUUGUUGUAGAAGAUUCUCUAGCAACAGGAUUAACCCCAUAAUAUACAGAAUAUGAUCAGAGGGAAGUAAAGAAGCUGAGAAUGGAGUAAACCAUUACAGGAAGUGUAACCUGGUGUGCAUUACCAUUCAAACAGAAUUAUUUAAGGGAAACUUAAUUACCAAGGGAAAAGAAUAUGUAUCAGGAGAGGCAGCUAGUGAAGAGGUGAUGGAAGGGGUAAGGUGAGACAGCUCUUAGUUUGGAAGGUGUAUUGUCCACUGUGCUCUGUAUUGCUUUUUACACCUGACAAUGUCUUCCUGGCCCAGAGAAGUAGUGGUUUAAUACUGUACACCCAUAUAACACCAAAUUAAUUGCAUUGCUGUCUAUAUAAUUUCCUGACUAAUCAGCACCCACUCUUUAUCUUAUGACAGCAUUGUCCAGGGAUUAUGAUCCAGAGACUUGCAGAAAGAACUCCAUUGGGAUGAGAUCUGCAUUUGCCCUUUGUGCUUCCUAAGUCUAAAUGGAGAGGACACCAACAAGACUUUGAACAGCUGGUGAGCAUGGCACAGACUCCAUCCUCUGAAACAAGAUGGUAAAGUUUGUCCGAUGCUUUGGUACUCUUCAAAGCAACAGAACUGUCUGACUUCUAUUAUAACAAGUGAUCUGUUUCUAUUUUCAGAUAUGUAUUAAAGGCUUCUUCUGACUUAAA